UCCUCUGUAGCUGCCAAAAAGUGCGCCAACUUGGAUCUUAAAUACGGGUGGGACAACGUUUGCACCUGGACGAGCUUUCCGUGCGAAUGGUUUGCUCAAUGACCAAAGCUUCAGCCUCGAACAAAAUGUUUACGUACUCGUAUUUGUGUGAUUCUUGUGUAAAUUGUCUGUGAAAACGGCCAUGGAGUGCCUGGGCUCAGACUGAGACUCAGUUCAGAUACAGGAUUCAGAUUCAGAUUCAGAUUCAGAUUCAGGUUCGGCUUUUGCAUUUGCAUUUGUCUGUUUUCAAUUCCUUUCCAUUUUCCCACUAGCUGUGAUUUCGUUUUGCAUACGUACAUCUUCCGCUUCCGCCGCAUCCUCCGCAUCCUGACGCACCCCAUCCAGCACUAUCCCCUUCACAUCGUAUGCUAUCCUAUAUCCUUUUUGCCGCACCCACACCCACACCCUUUUUUCCGGGCAGCACACACCGAUGCUCAUUUCGCCAGCGUCAACUAAAAAUGCAUUUCCUGUCAAGUGUAAAAAGGAAAUGAUGUGAUGCUCUUCGGCUUUAACGUGCAAUCAAUCAUUGCCGUGCCCGUUUCCACCCAAAAGGACUCUCCGUGUCCUUUCACACGCCACACACCCCUUCUACUUUCAUAUCCUUUUGCGGCUGCAAAGUCAACGAAGGCGGGUUUAUUAAGUCGGGCAAAUAGUGUUAAGUAUUUGUCAAAUGUCAAAUGCCAAAUGCCAAAUGCCACAUGCCAGACGCUCCCUUUUGCCGGGCUUAAUGGAUCCCCUCGCAUCCUGGCCAGCCACACACUGGCUUUUAAUUGCCACGCCGAUAGGCAAGUGAUUCUCCUGUCCCUGACCCAACUGGCCCACCACCUGGCAUUGAGCUGCAGCUUCCGCCUCCUCAAUUAGAGGGUCGUUGCCAGAAGUGUUGACUAUU
Molecule: non-coding RNA, 928 nt
Organism: Drosophila melanogaster (fruit fly)
Lineage: Eukaryota; Metazoa; Arthropoda; Insecta; Diptera; Drosophilidae
Source: Ensembl